RNAcentral lists this ribosomal RNA (253 nucleotides) under uncultured bacterium. Its description in RNAcentral is "partial 16S ribosomal RNA". It matches the Rfam family "Bacterial small subunit ribosomal RNA", at positions 524 to 776 of the family's 1533-position model. The record is from RNAcentral.
UACGAGUGCCUCAAGCGUUAUCCGGAAUCAUUGGGCGUAAAGGUUGUGUAGGUGGUUGUAUUAGUCUCUUGUUAAAUUCUUCGGCUUAACCGGGGGCAUGCAAGGGAAACGGUACAACUCGAGGAUGCGAGGGGUCUGCGGAACUCAUAGUGUAGCGGUGAAAUGCGUUGAUAUUAUGGGGAACACCAAAAGCGAAGGCAGCAGACUGGAGCACUCCUGACACUGAAACAAGAAAGCGUAGGUCGCGAAUGGG